Molecule: long non-coding RNA, 256 nt
Organism: Oreochromis niloticus (Nile tilapia)
Lineage: Eukaryota; Metazoa; Chordata; Actinopteri; Cichliformes; Cichlidae
Exons: 2
Source: RefSeq, a predicted model, not a curated record
CACCCUGGUUUCAACAUGUUCAGCCUGCUUCCCUCAGGGAAGCGCUACAGAUGCACAGUUACAACAACACGUUUAGCCACACUGAGGAGAGACCUUAUAAAUGUGACGUCUGUGAGAAGACUUUUAAAGCUCCACAUCAGCUGAAAAAACACCAACAGAUCCACACCAGAAACUAACUGUACAAGUGCAGUUACUGUGAGGUAUGUAUUUAUUUUUAUCUUGUAAUUUUAACCUGAUUGUUUGGAACAAGUCUGAU